AUCACCUUUGUGCUUCCUCUUGCAGAACGUCUAUUACACAAGCAAUCAGCAGCUCCACGUGGGUGUUCUGAGUCCUACUAUCGACGACGAUGACAACAGAUGUCUGGUGGAUGUGAACAGCAGGCCCAGGCUCAUUGAAUGCAAUUAUGCCAAAGCCAAGAGAAUGAAGCUUUACUGGCAGUUUACUCAGGGAGGCCCUAUCCAGAAUCGAAAAUCCAAGCGCUGCCUAGAAUUGCAGGAAAACAGCGAAAACGAAUUUGGAUUUCAGCUCGUCCUUCAGAAAUGCACUGGACAGCGCUGGUCUAUAACGAAUGUGCUGAAAAGCCUGUCAUCAUAGCAGAAUGAUUUUUUUUUCUACCCAGUCUUUUUGCUACUGUGUAGCAAAUAUUGCAAUGUUGCCUGCUGUACUGUAUUCCCCCUCUUUUCUUUCCUCUUUCCUGUCCCUUUGAUUUUCUUCGUGAGUGUGUGGAAGUUGGGUUUGUGGGCUGAAAAUAGACAUUUUUAUUUCACAAUGAUGUUUUCAUGGCAUUUAGAGAUAUGUUGAAUGACAGGUUAUGGUAAGUGAUCCUAAAAUAUUUUGCAACUGUAAAUACAAAACAAAUGGAGAAUAUUUAUAACUCAAGCUUUUAUUGAAUAAAAAAUUACAAACACUA
This is a non-coding RNA of Tinamus guttatus (white-throated tinamou), 653 nucleotides long. The record is from RefSeq and is a predicted model, not a curated record. Lineage: Eukaryota; Metazoa; Chordata; Aves; Tinamiformes; Tinamidae.